This 799-nucleotide ribosomal RNA is filed under the name uncultured marine eukaryote. RNAcentral's name for it is "SSU rRNA". It matches the Rfam family "Eukaryotic small subunit ribosomal RNA", at positions 609 to 1436 of the family's 1831-position model. The record is from RNAcentral.
GUUGUUGCGGUUAAAAAGCUCGUAGUUGGAUUCCUGUAUGGAAGGGGCGUCCCCACCCUUUGGAUGGGGGUUGCUACCUUCUUUGCAUCUUCCGGAGUAGAUGUUCCUCACUUAACUGUGAGGACAUCGUGCUCGGGUCAUUUACUUUGAGGAAAAGAGAGUGUUCCAAGCAGGCAAACGCCUGAAUACGUUAGCAUGGAAUAAUAGCAUCGGAUCAUCGUUCAGCUGUUGGUGUCUGGACGAGGAUAAAGGUGAACAGGGAUUGUUGGGGGCAUUCGUAUUUAACUGUCAGAGGUGAAAUUCUUGGAUUUGUUGAAGACGAACUACUGCGAAAGCAUUUGCCAAAGAUGUUCUCAUUGAUCAAGAACGAAAGUUAGGUGAUCGAAGACGAUCAGAUACCGUCCUAGUCUUAACCAUAAACUAUGCCAACUGGAGAUAGGACGUGUUUAUUUUACGACUCUUCCUGCAUCUUGAGAGAAAUCAAAGUCUUUGGGUUCCGGGGGGAGUAUGGUCGCAAGGCUGAAACUUAAAGGAAUUGACGGAAGGGCACCACCAGGAGUGGAGCCUGCGGCUUAAUUUGACUCAACACGGGGAAACUUACCAGGUCCGGACAUAGGUAGGAUUGACAGACUGAGAGCUCUUUCUAGAUUCUAUGGGUGGUGGUGCAUGGCCGUUCUUAGUUGGUGGAGUGAUUUGUCUGGUUUAUUCCGUUUACGAACGAGACCUUAACCUGCUAAAUAGCUACAUGUAACCUCGGUUACAUGGAUCGCUUCUUAGAGGGACUUUGUGUGUCUAACGC